CUUGUUGGUGAGGUAAUGGCUCACCAAGGCUUCGACGGGUAGCCGGCCUGAGAGGGUGACCGGCCACACUGGGACUGAGACACGGCCCAGACUCCUACGGGAGGCAGCAGUGGGGAAUAUUGGACAAUGGGCGGAAGCCUGAUCCAGCAACGCCGCGUGAGGGAUGACGGCCUUCGGGUUGUAAACCUCUUUCAGUAGCCACGAAGCGCAAGUGACGGUAGCUACAGAAGAAGGACCGGCCAACUACGUGCCAGCAGCCGCGGUAAUACGUAGGGUCCGAGCGUUGUCCGGAAUUAUUGGGCGUAAAGGGCUCGUAGGCGGUUUGUUGCGUCGGGAGUGAAAACUUCGAGCUUAACUCGGAGCUUGCUUUCGAUACGGGCAGACUUGAGGCAUUCAGGGGAGAACGGAAUUUCUGGUGUAGCGGUGAAAUGCGCAGAUAUCAGAAGGAACACCGGUGGCGAAGGCGGUUCUCUGGGAAUGUUCUGACGCUGAGGAGCGAAAGUGUGGGGAGCGAACAGGAUUAGAUACCCUGGUAGUCCACACCGUAAACGUUGGGCGCUAGGUGUGGGGCCUAUUCCAUGGGUUCCGUGCCGCAGCUAACGCAUUAAGCGCCCCGCC
Molecule: ribosomal RNA, 618 nt
Filed under: uncultured bacterium
Lineage: Bacteria
Description: bacterial SSU rRNA
Rfam family: Bacterial small subunit ribosomal RNA
Source: RNAcentral